Molecule: ribosomal RNA, 363 nt
Filed under: uncultured Desulfobulbus sp.
Lineage: Bacteria; Pseudomonadati; Thermodesulfobacteriota; Desulfobulbia; Desulfobulbales; Desulfobulbaceae
Description: bacterial SSU rRNA
Rfam family: Bacterial small subunit ribosomal RNA
Source: RNAcentral
CGGCAAUAUCAAAGGUGCUGCAUGGUUGUCGUCAGCUCGUGCCGUGAGGUGUCGGGUUAAGUCCCGCAACGAGCGCAACCCUUGCCUUUAGUUGCCAGCAGUUCGGCUGGGCACUCUAAAGGGACUGCCGGUGUUAAACCGGAGGAAGGUGGGGAGUGACGUCAAGUCCUCAUGGCCUUUAUGACCAGGGUUACACACGUACUACAAUGGCCGAUACAAAGGGCAGCGACACUGUGAGGUGAAGCCAAUCCCGUAAAAUCGGUCUCAAGUCCGGAUUGGAGUCUGCGAACUCGACUCCCACUGAAGUUGGAAUCGCCAGUAAUCGUGGAUCAGCAUGCCACGGUGAAUACGUUCCCGGGCCUU